GUUCAGAGAGGACUUCUUCCUGAUUUUAUGUGUAACCUUUGUGCAUGAUAGGAAAUCCUACAACCAGUCUCUAAAGCUUGCAUUAGUAACAAUUGUAAUUAAGUAUUUUGGCAUUAUUCAAAUUAGUCCUCGGUCAACGGACUAUUUUGAAGCAACACCAAAUGUGCCAUUAGUAUUUGAAUAUUGCCUUUCCAGAUUAGAGAAGGAAGCUAAGAGGUUUGUUCCACACAUAUUUUAAAGAAUAUUAAUAGCCGUGAGCAACAAAUAGGCUAUUGGAUGGGAGUUUCCUAAGUAGCGCUUGAUGAUUUUUGAACAUAUAUGCACAAAAUUACUAAAACAAUUAUGUUGGCUUGGAGGCUGGAACUAAUAUGGGAAUGGGAAUCAAUCUUGGUUCAUUUGGACUUGACGUAUUUUUCUCUUUUGUGGAAGUUUUUUUAAGUGUUUGUAAAAAUUUUAUAUAUUUAUUAACUUUUUGUGUAAGAUGGGGUUUGAUGCACAAUCAACUUGUUGUUAAACUGUUGAUGCAAUAUCUGACUUCAAAAAGAGGUCAGUCCAUGUCAAUUAUCUCAAGAUAUUAAUUAAAAGUCUAUAUUUCAUCUUUACGACUCAACUAUUUUCAGUAAUAUUCAUCAUAUGGACAUUGACAUAUUGGUGCCUAACAUUUUUGGUUGUGGAUAAUCUAUAGGAUUGCUAGUUUCAAUGGUGGUCUCUAGGAUCAAUACAUGAUUUUGAUUAUAGUUUCAGCUGAAGCAAAUGAGUGUCAAUUUUGCAAGUUUGAAUAACUUUAUAUCUAUUUUCAAUUAUUUUCAUUUAAAAACUAUAAUGAAUCAAAAAUACUAACUAUAACUAGGAA
RNAcentral lists this long non-coding RNA (853 nucleotides) under Elaeis guineensis (African oil palm). RNAcentral describes it as "long non-coding RNA (EGUI_LNC062798)". Lineage: Eukaryota; Viridiplantae; Streptophyta; Magnoliopsida; Arecales; Arecaceae. The record is from RNAcentral.